Lagopus muta (rock ptarmigan) is the source of this 468-nucleotide long non-coding RNA. RefSeq lists it as uncharacterized. The record is from RefSeq and is a predicted model, not a curated record. Lineage: Eukaryota; Metazoa; Chordata; Aves; Galliformes; Phasianidae. The transcript has 2 exons.
CGCCGAGGCUGGGGGCUGUGCUGACCCCCCAAAGGACGCAGGCUGGAUGCUCAGCCCCUGGAGGAGCCAGCAGCCACCUCUCAUCACAGCCAACCGCCGAACCCCACGCAGCCCCACACAGACACAACGGACACGAAUUCGUUUCCACUACUGUCUCAGUGUACUUUAUUCUCCUGCUGUCUACAGCUGAACAGCCACACAGGACAGAAACAGGAAAUCCCACCCCGCCUCAAGAACCGAAAUAAAAAGAAAAGGCAUCGCUCGAGCUCAUGGCCCAGGGCCUCUCGCUGCUCCUCACCUCAGCGGCCUGGGAGCUCGGCUCAGGUUUUGUACACUGGUUCAAAGUCGGCACUUGGGACUGCGAUCUGAACCCAGCACUGGAAGGCACGUAUCUGAUACCCUGUAUGAGAGCUGCGGGCACCGCGGAUCAGAUUGGGGGGAGAGGAAACUUUGGGGGGGGGGGGGGAA